RNAcentral lists this transfer RNA (95 nucleotides) under Clostridia bacterium. RNAcentral describes it as "tRNA-Ser". It matches the Rfam family "tRNA". From Rfam's summary of the family: Transfer RNA (tRNA) molecules are approximately 80 nucleotides in length. RNAcentral also lists the same sequence under 1 other name. Lineage: Bacteria; Bacillati; Bacillota; Clostridia. The record is from RNAcentral.
GGAGAGAUGGCCGAGUCCGGUCGAAGGCGCCCGACUCGAAAUCGGGUAGGGUGUGAUGAGCGCCCUCGUGGGUUCGAAUCCCACUCUCUCCGCCA